This 474-nucleotide unclassified non-coding RNA is filed under the name Hevea brasiliensis (rubber tree). The record is from RNAcentral. Lineage: Eukaryota; Viridiplantae; Streptophyta; Magnoliopsida; Malpighiales; Euphorbiaceae.
AUUAGAAGUCAAACCUGGAUUUACCAGGUGAGUGAUAUAACUAUAGCCAAUGAACUAAACUAACCCUUCUUAUUAUUGGCAACUACUAUCCUAACACCCUCGAUAGAUUUUUAGAGUACAUGAAUAAACCCACCAAAGCCAUUGCAUUGCACCAAAACAAGACAGUCCUUGCCUUAAAAACGGCAAUCAAAACAAUAUUGGUACAAUUUCACCUGCAUUAUAAUCACUCCAUGGCCAAUUUUCCCACUUGCAGGGUGCUAUCUUAGCCGAAUCACUAACAAAUCAAAUAUCAUUCAAAUGAUGACGACAAAAAAGUACAGAUGGAAUUUUUUAUAAGUUAUUGUGAAGUUAACAAUGAAAACCACUACUAAAUAGUAAUGGCCGGGUUUCUAACCAGCUUACAUUCAUCCUGUAUUUCCAUAUAUAAUUGAAAGCAGCAGCUUUAGAGCUACAGAAAAAAAAAAAAAAAAAAAA